AUGGCAGAUCUAACUUGAUCUCCUUCUUUGAUUGUCUCAAACCUUUCUGAUAUCGAAGAUGGAUCAGAAGAGGAUGCAGGAUGGUGGAGAAAAAUCAAAUGAAGACUCUCUUCUCUUUGAUUUUUUUCUUACCCAAAAAUCUAAAAUAGUUCUAGAUCUCUCACCCGAGAAGAGAACGGUCUCCUCUUUUGCUCAUGCCAAGGAAGAAUGAAACCUACCC
RNAcentral lists this long non-coding RNA (220 nucleotides) under Elaeis guineensis (African oil palm). RNAcentral describes it as "long non-coding RNA (EGUI_LNC053804)". Lineage: Eukaryota; Viridiplantae; Streptophyta; Magnoliopsida; Arecales; Arecaceae. The record is from RNAcentral.